AGGCCAAAGGUACCUGAGAACUUUAUCAGAACAGGCUGCAUCUGCAGAGGCUGAGAGUGGAGCCCAAACUGGCCACCCAGGAUUGCUGGGUGGGUCAAGCUGAACAUCCAGGGAGCAGCACAAUUAUCCCAGGCUCUCUUCCUGGUCCCGUCGAAAGACCCAGAGACUGGACUCCAAUCUCCAUUAAGAGUUAGAAAAUGCUUUUGUGCCCAGCUCCUACUUAACCCACCAUAUCCCUCCACAGGGAAACACCGGCAAGGAAGUAACCUGGGAACGUUGCCACAAGCAGACUGACAACAGCCGUGCAUACACAGCUUAGAAACAGUGGGGUGUCAACAUCUCCGUGGUGAAGCUGAGCUCCACGUGGAACUGAAUGGAAAUAGAAGAGAGGCUGGCUGGAGGUGGGAGAACCCACUCCUCUCGAGUUUGUCAGAGAAGACAAUUGGUCCUGAAGGGGAAAAAAAAGCAAUCCUUAGCAUGGCAAAACAACAAUGUACUGUCUCCUAUUACAGGAGUGCCUUUUAUUGUCCCCAUAAAAGGCAUUUGGGUUCUGCACCGACAAGCAAAGAAUUAACGUAUAAUAUGAUCGGUCACCGACUUCCUCUUCUCUUGGGUCAUCUCCCUCAACGAGUUUGUCAUCUACCUUCAGAUGCUUCCUUUGUCCAGUGGUCCCUAGAAUGUUGUCCUGUUCAGGAGCAGCAGAACAGAAGCCAUCUGGAACUUCAUUCAUUUG
This is a long non-coding RNA of Myodes glareolus (Bank vole), 733 nucleotides long. RefSeq lists it as uncharacterized. NCBI's taxonomy places the organism in Eukaryota, Metazoa, Chordata, Mammalia, Rodentia, Cricetidae. The record is from RefSeq and is a predicted model, not a curated record.